UACUGGAGUAACCUCUAACGAAGAAGUGACAUCAAUGGCGGCCUCCGGCUUCUACAUGUGUUGUUUUUUCUGAUCACUUUCACGGGACAAUUCGCGAUAAACACGUAACCAAUAAAUAAAUAUUAUCUGCACAGCUAGAUAUACCUCACUAAUGAAAUGAAGGCAAAGGCGCAGCGCAAGGGCAGAGGGAAAGCUGAAAAGCAAGCAAACAGGGACAAACUGCAGAAGUUUAAGGAUUCGGUUAAAGACUUCGUGAAGAGCAAAGGCGGCUUCGGUGAAAAUGAAACGGACCAAAGAGGAUUAUUCGUAAAGAGGAAAAGCAGGAAAGAGCUGCGCAAAGAGAAACGUAAGUUAAAGAAAGCCAAAAAGAAGUGCCACCACAUGGGUCCGUCCCUGCAGAGCCCCAGCGAGGAGCCCGCUCCAGAAACCCCCGAAAAGACACAGGAACCGGCCCUGAAGACCACCGGGAACCUUAAAAAGACCGCUCAGAAACAGCAGGAGGCAGGUAAAGACACUGUUAAUAACGAAGAAGGGACCACAAAAAGGAAAGUGCGCUUCUCCGAAGACCUGCCAAAACAAAGAAAGAAGUCUAGUCUGAACGAGGGCAGAAAGCGGUCUCUGUUAGAGGCCAAUAUCGAAGAAGACAAAGAAAUAAAGAGGUUGGAGAAACGCCUUGGGAUGAAUAAAAGAAAGAACAAAAGUAGUCUGCCCCUGUCGUUCACCAACGAUGGGCUCGAUUACAUUUUAGGGAUUCUUGAGCCUGGGGCGUCUGCCACGGGGCUGUAUGAGAGUGAUGAAGAAAUGGACCUCGAUGGAGCUAAGGGUGACUUUGAUGAGCUGGACGAGGACAGCGACGGGCAGAUGACAGAUGAUGAGAACCAGGAAGAGAGUGAGGGUGAAGAGGAGAGAGACGGAGGGGAUGAGGAUGCACAGACGGGAGAAGAGGAAGAUGUAGAAGAUGACAACCAGAUAGAAGAUGAGGUGGAAGGAGAAGGAGAAGAGGAAGAGGCCGAUGCAUCAGAGGAAAGUGAUGAUGGGGAGGAAGCUGACUCUGAACAUGAAACACCUGAAAGCCAGGAGCCUAGUCCUACCGCAGCAGGUAAAUAUGUUCCCCCUCACUUACGAGAAACCAUGGACAGCAAACGCAGAGCUGAGCUGGAGAAACUGAGGCGCACUGUGAAAGGUCUGAUGAACAGAUUGAGUCAGCCCAACAUGGCAUCCAUCAGCGGUCAGCUGGAAGAGCUGUACAUGAGCACCAGCAGGAAAGACAUGAACGAAACGCUCACUGACGUUCUGCUGGCUGCCUGCGUCACACCUGCUCUCAUGCCCGAAAGGCUUUUAAUGGAGCACAUCCUUCUUGUCAGUGUCCUUCACUAUAGUGUUGGCCUGGAGGUUGGAGCUCAUUUUCUGGAGACUGUAGUCCGUCGGUUUGAUAAAACCUACAGUCAGCUUGACGCUACGGACAAAGAAUGUGACAACUUGGUGUCCAUGCUCGCCCACCUCUACAACUUCCACGUGGUCCAUGCUCUCCUGGUGUUUGACAUUCUGAAGAAGCUGGUGACACGAUUCAGCGCGAAGGACGUAGAACUGGUUCUGCUGGUGCUGAAGAACGUUGGCUUCGCUCUCAGAAAGGAUGAUCCGCUAGCUCUUAAGGAGCUGAUCUCUGAGGCUCAGCGGAAAGCCGGCGCUGAAGGAGAGCGUUUUCACGACCAAACGAGGAUUCGGUUUAUGUUGGAGACUAUGCUGGCGCUAAAGAACAAUGACAUGAGGAAGAUUCCAGGUUAUGACCCUGAACCUCUGGAGAAUUUAAGAAAACUGCAAAGGACUUUGAUUCACAACAGCGCCAGUGGAAGUGACAUGAAGCUGAGAGUCUCGCUAGACAAUCUUCUGGAAGCGGAGCGUGUUGGCCGUUGGUGGAUCGUAGGAUCUUCCUGGAGUGGAGCACCCAUGAUCGAUGACCAAGAAAACAAGACGACUACCCCAUCCGCCAAAGGGGAACAAUACAGUGCAAAGAUGUUGGAGCUUGCACGUAAACAAAGAAUGAACACUGACAUCAGGAGGAACAUUUUCUGUGUGCUUAUGUCAAGUGAAGACUAUUUAGAUGCCUUUGAGAAACUUUUAAGGUUAGGAUUGAAGGACCAGCAAGAGCGGGAAAUUGUUCAUGUUUUGAUGGACUGCUGCCUGCAAGAGAAAAUGUUCAAUAGGUUCUAUGCGGUUCUGGCAGAGAAGUUUUGCUCCCAUGACCGGCGGUUCCAGAUGACUAUGCAGUUCAGUCUGUGGGACAAGUUCAAAGACCUGGCAAAUCUUUCCAGCCGGUCCUUCAGUAACCUGGUCCUGCUGGUCACUCAUCUUCUACACAGGAAGUGUCUGUCUCUUUCCAUUCUUAAGGCGAUUGAGUUUGGGGAGCUGGAUAAACCCAAAGUCAAAUUUUUGAAGCAGGUUCUCACAAAAAUUCUUAAGGAAACUGAGCCAGAAGAUCUUGUGAAUAUAUUUGGCAGGAUCUCUGGAAUCCCCAAGCUGGGAAUGCUUCGGGAAGGCUUGAAGCUUUUCAUCAGCCACUUUCUGCUUCGGAACAUCCAGACUGAAGAAACCGAGCAGGCCAAGGUACUCAAGGAUAGAGCUGAGGUCGCCGCCAGAGCCAUGGAGGCCCGGGAUGCCAAAAUUAAGCUAUAGAGCUCUUGCACAAAGAAAUGUGUGCAUAAUGCAUCGGACUCAAAAAGUGAGAAUUGCUAUUCAAAAGCCAAAAACAUGCCUCAAGCAGAAAAAGAUAAUAACAUAAUUCUUUCCCUGCUCAUUAAUUUCUUAUGCACACAUUUAGUUUCGAUUCAUCCUCUGACUUUUAUAAUCAGUGUCUUACACCGUAUAAACAAUGCUGUAUGAACCUCAUUCAGAAAGAGCACAAGGAUGCGUUGCUCUCUGAAAGGUAGGUUGACUGCAGUCCUCUGGAGUAUCUGCACAUGCAGCAGUGCUCCGGACAAGAGUCACGUGACCGACUAGCAUAACAUAGCAGAGGGUUACCGUUACAUUUGAUGUCCUUUGUUAAUUCAUUAGCAACAUCGACAUCAUGGAGUGACCAUCAUCUAGGGGUCAGGCAGCGGAAACAUCACCCUCGCAGAUCCACAACAAAAGAGCUAACCGUUUCAUUAAAUCUGAUUGAUUAAACCUUAUUGCGUGCCUCAAUGUCACCUCACACAGACUGUCACAUUAGAACCUGUAACGACGACACAACAGUCUGGCUGGUUUUUUCUCACAGUUUCAAAGCUGGUUACCUACAGAUGCCCCGCUUUUACACCCUUUGACAAAGACAACAUUGUCACCACAUGUGAAGAGAAGCGUAUAAUGGGGGUCCAGCCCACUAAGAUAAACACAGGUGAUUGUAAAGAGUGUGUGCCAUUGUCUGUCCGCGUGAGACCAGAGGAAGGUUGAUGCUGACCCCAGUUUGAACUGGUAAUAGGAAGUAAAGUUGUCUUGCAACUGAUAAGGCCACCGUUAAAGCACUGUUUGUGAGGAUAUCGCAUGUUCCUAAUGCGAAGACCAUGGGACUUAGUGUUUUGUUUUUUAAUUCAAUGUUGGCUUGAUCUUUCACGUCUUCAUGUGCAGGAGUCUCAGGUUUAUCCGGGGUUUAUGAUGCAUUUAUGUCUCACCUUUCACUCGUCUCAUCCAGGCCUUCACGUAAGUGUCCCACCCUGCUCACUUGUGUGUGGUUUCUUUCCCGAUCAUUAAAGGCUGGCGGUAGCACUGAUAAGGUCGAGUUCUUUGUACUUGUGCAGCUGGGUAAACGUACAGGUAUGGGGUAAAUUAGGCAUUAGUUAAAUCAGGAACUGUUUUUCUAAAUGUACUACUUUUUUAAGGCCAGAUCAAUUCUGUAAUUAAAUUUAGUGUUGCAUUUAUUUAAACUUUUUUCAUAUUUAUGGCAGUAGUUGUUAUAACAUUCUAACCUAUUACUACCCCGCUAGCCUUUUAGAAUUCAAGAGUAAAGCAAAGGUUAACAGAUUAGCCGUGAUUUUUAGUUUCUGCACGAUUCGCUCAGUCGCUUAACAGGACUGGUAAAUUGUUUUAGACUGAUUAAAAGGGGUUCCGCAGCUUAUUAUGCUA
This is an RNA transcript of Puntigrus tetrazona (Sumatra barb), 4095 nucleotides long. It is a transcript of the gene named nucleolar protein with MIF4G domain 1, with no coding region annotated. The record is from RefSeq and is a predicted model, not a curated record. NCBI's taxonomy places the organism in Eukaryota, Metazoa, Chordata, Actinopteri, Cypriniformes, Cyprinidae. The transcript has 13 exons.